Molecule: unclassified non-coding RNA, 200 nt
Filed under: soil metagenome
Description: partial contains internal transcribed spacer 2 and large subunit ribosomal RNA
Source: RNAcentral
UGUUCGAGCGUCAUUACACCCCUCAAGCCUGGCUUGGUGUUGGGCUCCGCUGCGCAAGCAGCGGGCCUUAAAAUCAGUGGCGGUGCGUCGGGCCCUGAGCGUAGUAAAUAUCCUCGCUACAGGGACCCGGUGGACGCUGGCCAUCAACCUAACUUUCUAAGUUUGACCUCGGAUCAGGUAGGGAUACCCGCUGAACUUAA